UACGUAGGGUGCGAGCGUUGUCCGGAAUUAUUGGGCGUAAAGAGCUCGUAGGCGGUGCGUCGCGUCGGCCGUGAAAACCUGCAGCUUAACUGUGGGCUUGCGGUCGAUACGGGCAUCACUGGAGUUCGGCAGGGGAGACUGGAAUUCCUGGUGUAGCGGUGAAAUGCGCAGAUAUCAGGAGGAACACCGGUGGCGAAGGCGGGUCUCUGGGCCGAUACUGACGCCGAGGAGCGAAAGCGUGGGGAGCGAACAGG
RNAcentral lists this ribosomal RNA (254 nucleotides) under uncultured bacterium. RNAcentral describes it as "partial 16S ribosomal RNA". It matches the Rfam family "Bacterial small subunit ribosomal RNA", at positions 524 to 776 of the family's 1533-position model. The record is from RNAcentral.